CCUACGGGCUGCACCAGUGGGGAAUAUUGCACAAUGGGCGCAAGCCUGAUGCAGCCAUGCCGCGUGUAUGAAGAAGGCCUUCGGGUUGUAGAGUACUUUCAGCGGGGAGGAAGGGAGUAAGGUUAAUAACCUUAUUCAUUGCCGUUACCCGCAGAAGAAGCACCGGCUAACUCCGUGCCAGCAGCCGCGGUAAUACGGAGGGUGCAAGCGUUAAUCGGAAUUACUGGGCGUAAAGCGCACGCAGGCGGUCUGUCCAGUCGGAUGUGAAAUCCCCGGGCUCAACCUGGGAACUGCAUUCGAAACUGGCAGGCUGGAGUCUUGUAGAGGGGGGUAGAAUUCCAGGUGUAGCGGUGAAAUGCGUAGAGAUCUGGAGGAAUACCGGUGGCGAAGGCGGCCCCCUGGACAAAGACUGACGCUCAGGUGCGAAAGCGUGGGGAGCAAACAGGAUUAGAUACCCCCGUAGUC
This 465-nucleotide ribosomal RNA is filed under the name uncultured bacterium. RNAcentral's name for it is "bacterial SSU rRNA". It matches the Rfam family "Bacterial small subunit ribosomal RNA", at positions 338 to 795 of the family's 1533-position model. The record is from RNAcentral.